This 2652-nucleotide long non-coding RNA is filed under the name Capsicum annuum. RNAcentral describes it as "long non-coding RNA (CANN_LNC003174)". Lineage: Eukaryota; Viridiplantae; Streptophyta; Magnoliopsida; Solanales; Solanaceae. The record is from RNAcentral.
UGUGGGAAGCGAGCCAAAGGACAAUGCCACUCAGAUGAUGCCACGUGGAAGCCUGUACGUAUGUCCCCAUCAUAUCUCCCUUUCUCUUCACACUUUUCACACUACUUCUUCUCUUCAUAUUCUUGAAUGAGAAGACUCUAAAGAGAUUAACAGAAUCUUGUUGAAUGAUUCUAGUAAUCUGAUGUUUAUAUAUGUUUCUAUCAAUUUCUCUCUCUCUAAAAUAUUAUUUCUAAAUAUAUACAUAUAUAGUAUUAUAUUGAACUCUCCAGAUAGUUUUAAAGUUACUUCCUUUUCUCACUAUAAUAAUAUUUUUAUUUUCUUUGUUUUUUAAUUUUUACAAGUGCUAUUCUUUUCUUUUUUUUCAUUAUAGCAGCCAUCAAGAGUUCUGUAAUUUGAUUGAUGAAGCACUUUUGUAUCUGCAGCCUUUUAUUUUUCUUGUUCCUAGUUUGUUAGUACUAUAUUAACAGCCUGUUAAACUUGUCAUUAAAUUCUAGCAUUACGGUAUAAAAAUCUUUUUUUUUUGGUAGCAAGAUCUAAAAAUCAUACCAUGGUUCAAUUAAGCACAUAAACACUUAAAAUGAACUUGAACAGCUGAUAAACUGUAUCUAAAAAUACUAAAAAAAUAACUUAUUCAGUGUAUUUUACAAAGUGAAAUCUUAGAAGAGUAGAGUAUUAUACAUUGUAUCUUAACCUGAGAUGUUGUUUUCGAAUAUCUAUAAAGACUUUUGAGUCAAAAUUCGGAAACAAAAUUGUGCAUAUUCUCAAACCUUAUUAUGUAAAUAAGGGCCAGUUUGGCCAUAAAAAAUUCCUUUUUUCCGAAAAAAAAAUCACUUUUCCGAAAACUGUGGUGUUUGACCAUGAAAAUUCAAAAAAUUAUUCUAGAGUUGAAUUUCAAAAAGUGAAAACAAUUUUUAUUCUUUUCACAAUUUUCCACUUCCAUUUCCAACUUUCAUUAUUAUUACAUAUAAUUUCAAUCUUUAAAUUUUUACACAAACCUCUCUUAUAAUUACAACCAACUACCAAGAAAAAAAUUAUUUAUUUUUUAUGAUACAACAUCAUUUUUAAUUGUUACAGAUAUUCUAAUCUCUUUUUCUUCUUUUAACCAAAAUUUACUAACGUGAAGUAAAAAAUAAUAAAUGGCAAUCUAUAGCGGAAAUAUAUCAACUUUUGUUCCGAAUGAACUAUAUUAUAGAAAUAUAAAGCCUAGUACAUUAUGUUAUUUAAAAAUGAGAUAUUUAAUAUUUUUUUCUUGUCAUUGUAAUUUUCUAUAUAUGUCAUAUAAUGGCUAUUAUGAUUUUAAUAAAUUAUUAAAAAGUGGUCAAUAAAGUUACGUAUUAAACAUAACGUAACGAGCCAUAUAUACGAUACAAUAAUAUUCAAGGAAAAUCAACAUCAUCACUAAAGAAAAAGCAAAUUAGCACUAAUCUAUUCAGAAAUAAUUUAUCCGUAAAUUUUUUUAAAAAGACCAAAUUCAAUAAAAUAAUUAAUUCAAGUGAAAGUAAUUAAGAAUUUUCAUCAACAAAUUUAAGAAUAUAAAAAAUAUAUUUAUAUCCAUCAAUCAUAUUUAUCAAAAUAUAUUUUCUCUAUUCAAUCGAUUAUGAUUAGAUAAACUUAUUUAGCUCGUGUUUGUGAUAUUUUUAUCCAAAUUUUAGAAGAAUAACAAUCAUAAUAAUUAGUUUGUUGUUAAUUAUUUUAUCAAUUGAAGACAUAUAAAUUAUUUUCUCAACAUUUGGUUGUAUGUUAGUAGGUAAAUUAGUAGUUGAGUGAUUUUAAUAAUUUUUAAAAGUUGAGGGCAUAAAUCAUAUUUAAAAAAGAUUUUUCAAAAGUCUUUAAAAAAAAAUUCAAAAAAAUAUGGUCAAACACAAUCCAACUUUAUUUUCAACUCCAACUCUGGAAAAAAAUAAUUUUCAUGGUCAAACAACUACUAAGUUGACCACAUAAAUUAUGUCACCUCUUGAAAACGCGUCUAAAAUCUUUUCCAAAAUGUAAGACAAAAUAUAUAACAAAAAUAUGUUAUCAUGUGUUUAGGUGACAGAUUAAAACAGAUAAUAAUUUUAGUAUCCAAAUAAAAUUUAUUAACAAAUAUAAAGAUGCUAAAUGCAUUCCGCCUUGAAAGAAAUAUGGUCAUUUAUAGAUGAUUUUGGAGUAGUACCUUUUCAGAUAUUGAAAGUUAGCAUAUUAUUAUGUAGUUGGAGGAGCAAUGUAGAUAGAUCUUUUGUAAAUCUAUGAUGCUGUUAUUUAUAGAAAAUAUGCUUUUUUGAAAGUGACUGCACAGUUGCUCUUCUCAAGUUUGGGGUUAUUGGAUUGUAAUGUUUUUAUGAAAAAGAGAAAUAAUUAAUUUAUCUUCCUUAUUUUUUAAUUUGUAAGUAAAAAACCUUGAAAUUGUUUUUUUUUUUUAAUUUUCCAUUCGGUGUUCAGUGCCCAUAUUGGAGUCCUGACUAAUCCGGAUCGCGCGUUACAGGGCCCAUUAAGGUGACAGAGCUCCCAAUAGAGUUUUCUUCAUACCCAGGGUCGAACCCUCGACGUUUGGUUAAGGGUGGAGCAGCCUCAUCCACUGCACCACAACCCGUGUUAUAACAGUUGUAGCUUAGCUUUUAUUGUUAGUUUUCUUAAUAAAGGAAAAAUGGUAAUGGAUUUGGGCCUAAAUUCUAA